Molecule: ribosomal RNA, 468 nt
Filed under: uncultured bacterium
Lineage: Bacteria
Description: partial 16S ribosomal RNA
Rfam family: Bacterial small subunit ribosomal RNA
Source: RNAcentral
GACGAACGCUGGCGGCGUGCUUAACACAUGCAAGUCGAACGGAAAGGCCCUGCUUUUGCGGGGUGCUCGAGUGGCGAACGGGUGAGUAACACGUGAGUAACCUGCCCUUGACUUUGGGAUAACUUCAGGAAACUGGGGCUAAUACCGGAUAGGAGCUCCUGCUGCGUGGUGGGGGUUGGAAAGUUUCGGCGGUUGGGGAUGGACUCGCGGCUUAUCAGCUUGUUGGUGGGGUAGUGGCUUACCAAGGCUUUGACGGGUAGCCGGCCUGGGAGGGUGACCGGCCACAUUGGGACUGAGAUACGGCCCAGACUGCUACGGGAGGCAGCAGUGGAGAAUAUUGCGCAGUGGGCGGAAGCCUGAUGCAGCGACGCCGCGUGCGGGAUGACGGCCUUCGGGUUGUAAACCGCUUUCGCCUGUGACGAAGCGUGAGUGACGGUAAUGGGUAAAGAAGCACCGGCUAACUACGUG